UACGGAGGGUGCAAGCGUUAUCCGGAUUCAUUGGGUUUAAAGGGUGCGCAGGCGGAAUGAUAAGUCAGUGGUGAAAUCCUACAGCUCAACUGUAGAACUGCCAUUGAUACUGUCGUUCUUGAGUAUAGUUGAAGUGGGUGGAAUGUAUCAUGUAGCGGUGAAAUGCAUAGAUAUGAUACAGAACUCCGAUAGCGAAGGCAACUCACUAAACUAUAACUGACGCUCAUGCACGAAAACGUGGGGAGCAAACAGG
Molecule: ribosomal RNA, 253 nt
Filed under: uncultured bacterium
Lineage: Bacteria
Description: partial 16S ribosomal RNA
Rfam family: Bacterial small subunit ribosomal RNA
Source: RNAcentral